Molecule: unclassified non-coding RNA, 279 nt
Filed under: plant metagenome
Description: partial contains small subunit ribosomal RNA, internal transcribed spacer 1, and 5.8S ribosomal RNA
Source: RNAcentral
UUUCCGUAGGUGAACCUGCGGAAGGAUCAUUAGUGAAAUAUCUUCCGCUGUUCUCUCUCGUUCAGCACGCCGUCACCCCACCCAUUCGUGCCCAUUUGACCGGCGGGGGAUACCCCACUCACUGUAUCAUUAACAAGCCAGUCUUGAAUAAAAACAUAUCAUAAAACUACAACUUUUAGCAACGGAGCUCUUGGCUCACGCCUCGAUUAAGAACUCAAGAGACCGAAAGAGCACACUUCUGAACUCCAGUCCCCAUUCGUCAUCUCCUAUGGCUAAGUC